GUGAAUCAUCGAAUCUUUGAACGCAAAUUGCACUCCCUGGUAUUCCGGGGAGUAUGCUUGUUUGAGGGUCGUUAGAAGAAAAAUCGAAGCAUCGCUCUUUUUUUUUAGGGUUAUCGCGUCGGAAUUGAGCCGUCUUUCAAAUGUUAAUUCAUUUCAAAGUGGCUUAAAAUUCAUCCAUCCGGUACGAUUAAGGCGUAUUUAAUAUCAAUUUUGAUUAAGAACGCUCGAUUACGUACCAUCUCAUGCAGUACUUUUGACCUGGGUCAUCAGGUUCAUUCGUAUACUAUACUCAAAUUU
This 297-nucleotide unclassified non-coding RNA is filed under the name Funneliformis mosseae. Its description in RNAcentral is "partial contains 5.8S ribosomal RNA and internal transcribed spacer 2". The stretch from base 1 to 71 matches the Rfam family "5.8S ribosomal RNA", at positions 84 to 154 of the family's 154-position model. Lineage: Eukaryota; Fungi; Glomeromycota; Glomeromycetes; Glomerales; Glomeraceae. The record is from RNAcentral.